Molecule: ribosomal RNA, 243 nt
Filed under: uncultured Staphylococcus sp.
Lineage: Bacteria; Bacillati; Bacillota; Bacilli; Caryophanales; Staphylococcaceae
Description: partial 16S ribosomal RNA
Rfam family: Bacterial small subunit ribosomal RNA
Source: RNAcentral
GGUGGAACCUACCUAUAAGACUGGGAUAACUCCGGGAAACCGGGGCUAAUACCGGAUAACACAUGAAACCGCAUGGUUUCAUGAUGAAAGACGGUUUUGCUGUCACUUAUAGAUGGACCCGCGGCGUAUUAGCUAGUUGGUAAGGUAACGGCUUACCAAGGCAACGAUACGUAGCCGACCUGAGAGGGUGAUCGGCCACACUGGAACUGAGACACGGUCCAGACUCCUACGGGAGGCAGCAGA